GACGAACGCUGGCGGCGUGCCUAAUACAUGCAAGUCGAACGCUUCUUUCCUCCCGAGUGCUUGCACUCAAUUGGAAAGAGGAGUGGCGGACGGGUGAGUAACACGUGGGUAACCUACCCAUCAGAGGGGGAUAACACUUGGAAACAGGUGCUAAUACCGCAUAACAGUUUAUGCCGCAUGGCAUAAGAGUGAAAGGCGCUUUCGGGUGUCGUUGAUGGAUGGACCCGCGGUGCAUUAGCUAGUUGGUGAGGUAACGGCUCACCAAGGCCACGAUGCAUAGGCGGCCUGGAGGGGUGAUCGGCCACACUGGGACUUGAACACGGCCCAGACUCCUACGGGAGGCAGCAGUAGGGAAUCUUCGGCAAUGGACGAAAGUCUGACCGAGCAACGCCGCGUGAGUGAAGAAGGUUUUCGGAUCGUAAAACUCUGUUGUUAGAGAAGAACAAGGACGUUAGUAACUGAACGUCCCCUGACGGUAUCUAACCAGAAAGCCACGGCUAACUACGUG
Molecule: ribosomal RNA, 508 nt
Filed under: uncultured bacterium
Lineage: Bacteria
Description: partial 16S ribosomal RNA
Rfam family: Bacterial small subunit ribosomal RNA
Source: RNAcentral